UUACUGUUUAAUCAUGGCAGUUGAAACAUGCUUAUACUAAACUGCAUAAGUAUAUAAUGGUUGAAGCUACUAUAAAAAAUUUUUAUAGAUUCUUAGCAGUGGAUAUUUUGUAAUCUGCGUAAGCAGGACAGAGUAGUAUAUUUGGAGGAUAAGACACAGUGCCAGCAUCCGCGGUUAUUCUGUUUCCGCUUGUUUCUUGAUAGUAAAUUUUUAAUUAUUAAGUAACUUUAUACAGUAAAAAGUAUUUUGGUUAUAUUAAAGUAGUAAUUAAUGGUGUUUUGGAUCAGCUAAUAAAACAAAUUAGGAACUUGUGUAGUGGAUUAAGAUACAAAAGUUUAGUUAAACUAAAAUUAUUUGGCAGCUGACUAGUCCUAACAGGGGAGGAUGCCUUAUAAGGGAUAGUCCACCCAGGAAUUUACCAUAAAUACUUAGUUGGUGUACGUCCGGUUAAAGAUAGAUAGUAAAAACUAAUUAUUUGUGUAAAAAUAAUUUUUAAGCCAGGUCUAUGUGCUGCUAACUUUAUGGUCAAGGUUUGCUACUUUUAAAAGAUGUUUGUAAAUAGUAUAUUUAGGACUUGUAAGUAAGAUUAAAUUAACUUGUUGGUCUGAAAUGGGUUUAGUCGGGGUACACACCGCCCGUCAAUUUCGGUUAUUCUGAGAUAAGUCGUAACAUGGUAGCUGUAGGGGAACCUGCAGCUAGUAGCUAUCAGCAGUGGUUGUUUAGCU
RNAcentral lists this non-coding RNA (725 nucleotides) under Dactylogyrus lamellatus. The record is from RNAcentral. Lineage: Eukaryota; Metazoa; Platyhelminthes; Monogenea; Dactylogyridea; Dactylogyridae.